CACUUUAAUCGAAAAAUUCACCUUCAAUUAUCGUGUGCUGCAGUAUAUAGAACAUUUCCAGAGGAACCAUGUCUGGAGUCAAGGGACAGAAGAAAUGCCCAGAUCCAUGCCAGGAUCCAUGCCCAGAGCCUUGCCCACCACCAUGCCCACCACAGAAAUGUCAGGAUCCAUGUGACCCAUGCCCUCCUCCACAAUGCAAAGAUCCCUGUAAACCAGCUCCACAGCAGUGUCAGCAAGACGUGAAAUAUGUGAAGAAGUAUUAAUAAGAAGAGGCCACCCGAUGAUGGAAACUGUCCACUGCUUGACCAAGAUAAUUCCUGUAUACCCCUCAACUCCGUAAUGAGAUUAAUUCUAUUGCAGAUUUUACGAUUUCCAUGAUAACAUCUGCAUUUGCUAGUUAAGAUGCACUUUAUGCUUACUCACUAUGCCAAUAAAUCAUAAUUAAAAGGGAAUAUCUAAAA
This is a long non-coding RNA of Pelobates fuscus (common spadefoot toad), 461 nucleotides long. RefSeq lists it as uncharacterized. The transcript is spliced from 3 exons. NCBI's taxonomy places the organism in Eukaryota, Metazoa, Chordata, Amphibia, Anura, Pelobatidae. The record is from RefSeq and is a predicted model, not a curated record.